Molecule: ribosomal RNA, 799 nt
Filed under: uncultured Glomeromycotina
Lineage: Eukaryota; Fungi; Glomeromycota
Description: SSU rRNA
Rfam family: Eukaryotic small subunit ribosomal RNA
Source: RNAcentral
AUCAACUUUCGAUGGUAGGAUAGAGGCCUACCAUGGUGGUAACGGGUAACGGGGUGUUAGGGCACGACACCGGAGAGGGAGCCUGAGAAACGGCUACCACAUCCAAGGAUGGCAGCAGGCGCGCAAAUUACCCAAUCCCGACACGGGGAGGUAGUGACAAUAAAUAACAAUACGGGGUUCUUUCGGAUCUCGUAAUUGGAAUGAGUACAAUUUAAAUCUCUUAACGAGGAACAAUUGGAGGGCAAGUCUGGUGCCAGCAGCCGCGGUAAUUCCAGCUCCAAUAGCGUAUAUUAAAGUUGUUGCAGUUAAAAAGCUCGUAGUUGAAUUUCGGGGUUAGUAGAUUGGUCAUGCCUCUGGUAUGUACUGGUCUCACUGAUUCCUCCUUCCUGAUGAACCUUAAUGCCAUUAAUUUGGUGUUUUGGGGAAUUUGGACUGUUACUUUGAAAAAAUUAGAGUGUUUAAAGCAAGCUAACGCUUGAAUACAUUAGCAUGGAAUAAUGAAAUAGGACGUUCGAUCCUAUUUUGUUGGUUUCUAGGAUUGACGUAAUGAUUAAUAGGGAUAGUUGGGGGCAUUAGUAUUCAAUUGUCAGAGGUGAAAUUCUUGGAUUUAUUGAAGACUAACUACUGCGAAAGCAUUUGCCAAGGAUGUUUUCAUUAAUCAAGAACGAAAGUUAGGGGAUCGAAGACGAUCAGAUACCGUCGUAGUCUUAACCAUAAACUAUGCCGACUAGGGAUCGGAUGAUGUUAAUUUUUUAAUGACUCAUUCGGCGCCUUACGGGAAACCAAAGUGUUUGGGUUC